GGGGAUGAUCGGUUUCGACAUCGCCUGCGAAUCCACGAGAAGCGGGCCGAGGAUGCAGGGUUAUCUCGUAAACGCCCUCUGCAAAAAUAUAACUGCCGAUAAGAAGCAGUCUGACUUCGCCCUCGCUGCGUAAGUAGCGAGCCCGAGUCCGUCAGUCCGUGUGUGAUUCCGUCACGGUUUCUGGCGUCAUCUAGGAAUCUUGCUGUGUGAUGUCGUCUGGUCGUCACGCGGGACUUUCACCAGGCUGGGCCUGUCGACUUAGGUGUCUGUGACAAAGGUCGGGGCCGAGUAGAACGCAUGCAUAGACUGCGCCCGGAGAAGGCGUGGAGACCCAGCGAUGGACGGGGGUUCGAUUCCCCCCAUCUCCACGA
Molecule: transfer-messenger RNA, 371 nt
Filed under: Microbacteriaceae
Lineage: Bacteria; Bacillati; Actinomycetota; Actinomycetes; Micrococcales
Description: Microbacterium sp006715145 X1 Standard tmRNA
Rfam family: transfer-messenger RNA
About the family: Bacterial tmRNA, also known as 10Sa RNA or SsrA, is named for its dual tRNA and mRNA-like properties. Its role is to liberate the mRNA from a stalled ribosome. To accomplish this part of the tmRNA is used as a reading frame that ends in a translation stop signal.
Source: RNAcentral